GUAGGGUGCAAGCGUUAAUCGGAAUUACUGGGCGUAAAGCGUGCGCAGGCGGUCCGUUAAGACAGAUGUGAAAUCCCCGGGCUUAACCUGGGAACUGCAUUUGUGACUGGCGGACUCGAGUAUGGCAUAGGGGGGUAGAAUUCCACGUGUAGCAGUGAAAUGCGUAGAGAUGUGGAGGAAUACCGAUGGCGAAGGCAGCCCCCUGGGCCAAUACUGACGCUCAUGCACGAAAGCGUGGGGAGCAAACAGGAUUAGAUACCCUGGUAGUCCACGCCCUAAACGAUGUCAACUGGUUGUCGGGCCUUCAUUGGCUUGGUAACGAAGCUAACGCGUGAAGUUGACCGCCUGGGGAGUACGGUCGCAAGAUUA
Molecule: ribosomal RNA, 369 nt
Filed under: uncultured bacterium
Lineage: Bacteria
Description: bacterial SSU rRNA
Rfam family: Bacterial small subunit ribosomal RNA
Source: RNAcentral